This 396-nucleotide ribosomal RNA is filed under the name uncultured bacterium. RNAcentral describes it as "bacterial SSU rRNA". It matches the Rfam family "Bacterial small subunit ribosomal RNA", at positions 29 to 429 of the family's 1533-position model. The record is from RNAcentral.
AUUGAACGCUGGCGGAAUGCUUUACACAUGCAAGUCGAGCGGCAGCGCGGGGGCAACCCUGGCGGCGAGCGGCGAACGGGUGAGUAACAUAUCGGAACGUACCCAGUCGUGGGGGAUAACUAUCCGAAAGGAUAGCUAAUACCGCAUACGUCCUGAGGGAGAAAGCGGGGGAUCGCAAGACCUCGCGCGAUUGGAGCGGCCGAUAUCGGAUUAGCUAGUUGGUGGGGUAAAGGCUCACCAAGGCGACGAUCCGUAGCGGGUCUGAGAGGACGACCCGCCACACUGGAACUGAGACACGGUCCAGACUCCUACGGGAGGCAGCAGUGGGGAAUUUUGGACAAUGGGGGCAACCCUGAUCCAGCCAUUCCGCGUGAGUGAAGAAGGCCUCGGUGUAAG